CAAAGGUUUGGUCCUGGCUUUACUGUCAGCUGUAGCUAAAUUUACACAUGCAAGUAUCCGCACCCCUGUGAGAAUGCCCUAACAGUCCUCUGCCCGAAGACAAGGAGCCGGUAUCAGGCACAACAUCUCUGUUAGCCCACAACGCCUUGCUUAGCCACACCCUCAAGGGAGUUUCAGCAGUGACAAACAUUAUGCUAUGAGUGAAAACUUGACUUAAUUAAAGCUAAAAGGGCUGGUAAAGUUCGUGCCAGCAACCGCGGCUAUACGAUAGGCCCAAGUUGACAGUUAACGGCGUAAAGAGUGGUUAAGGAAUACAAUUCAAACUAAAGCCGAAAACUUUUAGAGCCGUUUAAAGCAUCUGAAGACAAUGAAGACCCAACACGAAAGUGGCUUUAAUACCCCUGACCCCACGAAAGCUAAGGAACAAACUGGGGUUAGAUAUCCCACUAUGCUUAGCCGUAAAAAUUGAUAGGGAAAAUAUACUCCCACCCCUAUCCGCCCGGGUACUACGAGCCUUAGCUUAAAACCCAAAGGACUUGGCGGUACUUUAGACCCCCCCUAGAGGAGCCUGUUCUGUAAUCGAUAAUCCCCGCUUAACCUCACCCCCUCUUGUUGAACCCGCCUAUAUACCGCCGUCGUAAGCUUACCCUGUGAAGGAUCUAUAGUGAGCCUAAUUGGCAUGGCCUAAAACGUCAGGUCCAGGUGUAGCGAAUGAGGGGGGAAGAAAUGGGCUACAUUCGCUAACUUCAGCGAACCUACGAAUGAUGGCCUGACUGAAAAGUUCAUCGGAAGGAGAAUUUAGCAGUAAGUGGGAAUUAGAGAGUUCCACUGAAGCUGGCUCUAAAGUAUGCACACACCGCCCGUCACUCUCCCUAAGCACAUAGAUAACCCUAUACCUAAUAUGCUCUACCACGUAGAGGGGAGGCAAGUCGUAACAAGGUAAGUGUACCGGAAGGUGCACUUGGACAAAAAU
This 973-nucleotide non-coding RNA is filed under the name Rexea antefurcata (long-finned escolar). RNAcentral describes it as "12S ribosomal RNA". It matches the Rfam family "Bacterial small subunit ribosomal RNA". The record is from RNAcentral. Lineage: Eukaryota; Metazoa; Chordata; Actinopteri; Scombriformes; Gempylidae.